UAGGUCGUGUAUCCCUCCGCCACUGCUAUUUCUGCGAUUUCUGCUACUUCCGUGAUUUCUGCUACUUCUGCGAUUUCUGUGACUUCUGCUAUUUCUGCUACUUCUGCGAUUUCUGUGACUUCUGCUACUUCUGCGAUUUCUGUGAUUCCUGCGAUUUCUGCGACUUACCACCGUAUGAGAAAGUUACAUCUGUCAACACAGAAAAUUGCAUCUCAACAAACCUGUCUUUGGCAAGUACCUGAACUACAUUUCAGUCACUCAGUAAAGUGAUAACUCAAAAUAUCAUUGUCAACAGAUCUGAAGAAAUUGCCACUGCGUCUUUAGACCGUUUUCGUCAGACGAGAGACACAGUUCUGACUCUGAUUACUGGUUGCUGUACGUAUCUAUCCAUAUCAAGGCUGUUUUUGAGAGAGACUCGUGAAGAUUCAAGACAGUUCUUAGAG
Long non-coding RNA from Schistocerca cancellata (South American locust), 443 nucleotides. RefSeq lists it as uncharacterized. The transcript is spliced from 3 exons. The record is from RefSeq and is a predicted model, not a curated record. Lineage: Eukaryota; Metazoa; Arthropoda; Insecta; Orthoptera; Acrididae.